This 465-nucleotide ribosomal RNA is filed under the name uncultured bacterium. Its description in RNAcentral is "bacterial SSU rRNA". It matches the Rfam family "Bacterial small subunit ribosomal RNA", at positions 329 to 792 of the family's 1533-position model. The record is from RNAcentral.
GGCCAGACUCCUACGGGAGGCAGCAGUGAGGAAUAUUGGUCAAUGGGCGAGAGCCUGAACCAGCCAAGUCGCGUGAGGGAAGACGGUCCUAUGGAUUGUAAACCUCUUUUGCCGGGGAGCAAAAAGCGGUACGUGUACCGCAUCGAGAGUACCCGGAGAAAAAGCAUCGGCUAACUACGUGCCAGCAGCCGCGGUAAUAUGUAGGGGGCAAGCGUUAUCCGGAAUUACUGGGUGUAAAGGGAGCGUAGACGGGAAUGCAAGUCUGGAGUGAAAGGCGGGGGCCCAACCCCCGGACUGCUCUGGAAACUGUGUAACUGGAGUGCAGGAGAGGCAGGCGGAAUUCCAGUGUAGCGGUGAAAUGCGUAGAUAUUAGGAGGAACACCAGUGGCGAAGGCGGCCUGCUGGACUGUAACUGACGUUGAGGCUCGAAAGCGUGGGGAGCAAACAGGAUUAGAUACCCUUGUA